Molecule: ribosomal RNA, 498 nt
Filed under: uncultured bacterium
Lineage: Bacteria
Description: partial 16S ribosomal RNA
Rfam family: Bacterial small subunit ribosomal RNA
Source: RNAcentral
AUUGAACGCUUGCGGCAUGCCUUACACAUGCAAGUCGAACGGUAACAGGUCUUCGGAUGCUGACGAGUGGCGAACGGGUGAGUAAUACAUCGGAACGUGCCUAGUAGUGGGGGAUAACUACUCGAAAGAGUGGCUAAUACCGCAUGAGAUCUACGGAUGAAAGCAGGGGAUCGCAAGACCUUGUGCUACUAGAGCGGCCGAUGGCAGAUUAGGUAGUUGGUGGGAUAAAAGCUUACCAAGCCGACGAUCUGUAGCUGGUCUGAGAGGACGAUCAGCCACACGGGGACUGAGAAACGGACCAGACUCCUACGGGAGGCAGCAGUGGGGAAUUUUGGACAAGGGGCGCAAGCCUGAUCCAGCAAUGCCGCGUGCAGGAUGGAGGCCUUCGGGUUGUAAACUGCUUUUGUACGGAACGAAAAGCCCCGGGUUAAUACCCUGGGGUCAUGACGGUACCGUAAGAAUAAGCACCGGCUAACUACGUGCCAGCCGCCGCCGUAA